GAUGAACGCUGGCGGCGUGCCUAAUACAUGCAAGUCGAGCGAACGGACGAGAAGCUUGCUUCUCUGAUGUUAGCGGCGGACGGGUGAGUAACACGUGGAUAACCUACCUAUAAGACUGGGAUAACUUCGGGAAACCGGAGCUAAUACCGGAUGAUAUUUUGAACCGCAUGGUUCAAAAGUGAAAGACGGUCUUGCUGUCACUUAUAGAUGGAUCCGCGCUGCAUUAGCUAGUUGGUAAGGUAACGGCUUACCAAGGCAACGAUGCAUAGCCGACCUGAGAGGGUGAUCGGCCACACUGGAACUGAGACACGGUCCAGACUCCUACGGGAGGCAGCAGUAGGGAAUCUUCCGCAAUGGGCGAAAGCCUGACGGAGCAACGCCGCGUGAGUGAUGAAGGUCUUCGGAUCGUAAAACUCUGUUAUUAGGGAAGAACAUAUGUGUAAGUAACUGUGCACAUCUUGACGGUACCUAAUCAGAAAGCCACGGCUAACUACGUGCCAGCAGCCGCGGUAAUACGUAGGUGGCAAGCGUUAUCCGGAAUUAUUGGGCGUAAAGCGCGCGUAGGCGGUUUUUUAAGUCUGAUGUGAAAGCCCACGGCUCAACCGUGGAGGGUCAUUGGAAACUGGAAAACUUGAGUGCAGAAGAGGAAAGUGGAAUUCCAUGUGUAGCGGUGAAAUGCGCAGAGAUAUGGAGGGACACCAGUGGCGAAGGCGACUUUCUGGUCUGUAACUGACGCUGAUGUGCGAAAGCGUGGGGAUCAAACAGGAUUAGAUACCCUGGUAGUCCACGCCGUAAACGAUGAGUGCUAAGUGUUAGGGGGUUUCCGCCCCUUAGUGCUGCAGCUAACGCAUUAAGCACUCCGCCUGGGGAGUACGACCGCAAGGUUGAAACUCAAAGGAAUUGACGGGGACCCGCACAAGCGGUGGAGCAUGUGGUUUAAUUUGAAGCAACGCGAAGAACCUUACCAAAUCUUGACAUCCUUUGACAACUCUAGAGAUAGAGCCUUCCCCUUCGGGGGACAAAGUGACAGGUGGUGCAUGGUUGUCGUCAGCUCGUGUCGUGAGAUGUUGGGUUAAGUCCCGCAACGAGCGCAACCCUUAAGCUUAGUUGCCAUCAUUAAGUUGGGCACUCUAAGUUGACUGCCGGUGACAAACCGGAGGAAGGUGGGGAUGACGUCAAAUCAUCAUGCCCCUUAUGAUUUGGGCUACACACGUGCUACAAUGGGCAAUACAAAGGGCAGCGAAACCGCGAGGUCAAGCAAAUCCCAUAAAGUUGUUCUCAGUUCGGAUUGUAGUCUGCAACUCGACUACAUGAAGCUGGAAUCGCUAGUAAUCGUAGAUCAGCAUGCAACGGUGAAUACGUUCCCGGGUCU
This 1372-nucleotide ribosomal RNA is filed under the name uncultured bacterium. Its description in RNAcentral is "bacterial SSU rRNA". It matches the Rfam family "Bacterial small subunit ribosomal RNA", at positions 28 to 1381 of the family's 1533-position model. The record is from RNAcentral.